UUCCCAUUUCUCAUCCUAUAUCCCUGCUACCCAUAACAGCUCCAUGGGUCCCGUGUUUCUGAGAGCAGCCAAGACAGCAGCUGGAUCUGUUAUGAAAGGAAGCAGAUGAGCCUCGUGUUAUUCUCGCUCUCGUUCAGAGUGAAGUCAGACCCUCUUCUGUCUCCCAGGGCUGAAUAUGAAAGCUAUGAUGGCAUGAGCAUCCUGUGAUUGGCUGAUAUUUUGCUCUUGCAGAAAUCAGCACCUGUUGCUGUAUAUUACUCUGUAGAGACUGAGCCAGACACGAGGCUGAAGGAAAGACGGAUGCAUUCAAGCCCUAGGUAUGCCUUUUGUGGGAUUUUAACCCUUUUAAGCAAAUACAGGAAAACCCAUGGCCAUGGAAUGCUUGCCUGGAGUCACAAGUUGGUUGCUGUUUAACCGGCGAUAGAUCUGUGUAUGGAAAGAGCCUGUAAUUCCAUUACCUUGAAAGAGUUGAUGGAGAGGGGAAGGGGGCUUUUUCUGGAAGCUUCUUUGGUGUGACUUAGUGGAGUCAAACUUCAGAUCUUGGACCUGAGCUCGUCUCUGAAAAGCCGUUGCUGACAUGAAGGUAGAAUUGUAGGAUUAUUUACACGUUGUCUCCAUGGUGUCCGCAAACAUGUUAUGUUCUUUAUACAGCUCUGCACUAAGGAAUUUACAACCAACAGACCAAGUGUACGGUUGCGUGCAGGGGAAACACACUGUGAGACAUUCUUAGCAAGACUCCCUGGAAGUGACAUGGCAACAGGCACCUGUGAGGUAUUGGAGAGAGACCUGGAGGGUCCUGAGGCCAUAGAAGAGCUGCCAGUGCUGGUAGAGAGAAUUCUAAGGCUGUCGAAGGAGGACAAGAGAAAAGAUGCUGAAGUGCCACAAAGUGAAGAGGAGGUAAACAGUAGCUCACACGGGAUAGAGAAGGAGGAGAAGAACACACUGCACGUCAUCGAGAAGGAUCUAGACGAGUUUGUGGAAAGCAUAACUGACACACCAGUGGUCACUGAGAAGACAGUGACGAGGGUAGAAAGGGUGGAGGAGAUAGCCAGCUCUGCUUCGCCACAAGUCCCCAAGACCCUUAAAGUGAAAAGGAAGGCCGAGCCCCACACCAUCAGCCCCAUGAAGGAAGAGGUCCCCUGGGAGGGCCUUACCCUCAACAAGUGCAUUCUCAUCGCCUCCUUUGUCGCUCUGCUAUGCAUGGGCUUCCAGGUCUUCCAAGAUGUCAUCGACGUAGAAGACGAGAUUCCCGAGGCAGAGCCCAGCCUGUGGGCCCAGCCUGCGUGCAGCCUUCCCGAGGAUGGUGCCGGCGAGAGGGGAGAGUUGCGGUUUUUCAAGAGCUGGUUGAGCUGGUGGGAGCCGGAAGCAGCAGAAGAUCCUGAAGCCAAGGUGGAAGGGACGCAGCAGGACUCCCCAGCCAGGGCAGAGCCGAGAAGGGGCCAGCAGAAGCGGAGCGCGCUGGAGAAGCCCAGAGAGAGUGAGGUGGCUCAGCCGGAGAGAGGCAGCAAGAAAGGGAUGCAGCCCAAGGACAGGCCCCCCGAGGGCCAGGCCAGCAAAAUGCACAGGGCCCCCCCAGCAGGCUCUGAGGAGGAGGAAGGGCAGCAGCAUAGCAGGAAGGAGGGCAAGCGGAGGGAGGGGAAGGAGCAGGGGGAGCGGACCAGGCGGGACAAGGGGAAGGGCCGCCACCCCAAGCCCGACUCACCAGCCCAAGGGCCAGGCCACAAGGAGCACCGGCAUGAUGAAAGCGGGAAGCAGAACUCUAAGCAGCAGCGAGGCGAGCACAAGGGCCGGAAGCCCUGGGAGCAGCACAAGUUCAGGGAAGGCAAGAGGCAUGACUGAGAACCUGCCCCCUCGCGCCUGAAUGGUCUUGAGCAAUGAGGUUGAACAACACUAAGUCUGGGGGCACCCAAAUUCCCUGCCCCCCAAGGCUUCAGCCUGAAGGCAGCACAUAAUCACCCCAGCACCAGCCUUUCCUUUCAUCCCCGAGAGCCACGCUCACGUGUGAGAUUUGCUGGCCAUUGUUUUUUCCUCCCUAGACAUUGCUUGUUUGCCGAGUUCCCCAGGAAUUAAACACACCUGCCAUUGAUAACCCCACCUGCGGUGACAGAGCAGCAGCAUGGUUUUGUGGUUAGAGCCACAGACUGGGCAGUGGGAGCUCUGAGUUCUGCUCCCAGCUCUACCAUUGACUUGCUGGGUUGGGCUGGGCAAGUCAUGUCACUUCUUUGUGCCUUAUGUUUCCCCAGCUGUAAAAUGGGGAUGAUGAUACUUCGCUAAGGCCCAGGGGUUGCUGUGAGUGCAGGUGAGAUGCUUUGAGAUCCCUGCAUCAGUGCUGGGUAUCGCUGCUGGAGUGGGAGCACAGACGGUCUUGUCAUGGGCCUUAGGUGCAAAUUUGGACUCCCCUGAGUUUGAUGCUUAAAGGAGAGCUGAAAAGGGGGGGGUCCUUUUGUGCUUCAUGAGAGGUCCCCCAACCCCACCAGAAAUAUUUUUCUGCUUGUUUUGUGACUUUACAAAUAAUCAGACUGUCCUGGUAUUGCUGGAGGACUCUCUGGAGGUUUUUCAUGUACAAAGAGCUCUCUCAGGGUCCACAGAUGUCAGUUUUUAACCUGGAGAGCUUUUCUCCCAACUGUUUGUCAGACAUCUGAAUUAAAUUGGUGUUAACAAAACCAAACCAAAAGACAAAGGUUCUAACAGCCUGAAUGGAAAUCCCAGUCCCUGCCACUGAUUCAGGUUUCAGACCUCCAUGGUGAUGAUGCUACAAUCCUACUCAUUUUCCAGUCAUCUAUAGAGACUUCUAAGGAAAGCUGAAGGUCUAAUGGCAAGGCCAAGCAGGUAGAUGCUG
Molecule: long non-coding RNA, 2839 nt
Filed under: Gopherus agassizii (Agassiz's desert tortoise)
Lineage: Eukaryota; Metazoa; Chordata; Testudines; Testudinidae
Description: lncRNA (ENSGAGG00000008471.1)
Source: RNAcentral